RNAcentral lists this ribosomal RNA (446 nucleotides) under uncultured bacterium. RNAcentral's name for it is "bacterial SSU rRNA". It matches the Rfam family "Bacterial small subunit ribosomal RNA", at positions 329 to 792 of the family's 1533-position model. The record is from RNAcentral.
GACCAGACUCCUACGGGAGGCAGCAGUGGGGAAUAUUGCACAAUGGGGGAAACCCUGAUGCAGCGACGCCGCGUGAGCGAUGAAGUAUUUCGGUAUGUAAAGCUCUAUCAGCAGGGAAGAAGAUGACGGUACCUGACUAAGAAGCCCCGGCUAACUACGUGCCAGCAGCCGCGGUAAUACGUAGGGGGCAAGCGUUAUCCGGAUUUACUGGGUGUAAAGGGAGCGUAGACGGCGAUGCAAGCCAGAUGUGAAAGCCCGGGGCUCAACCCCGGGACUGCAUUUGGAACUGUGUGGCUGGAGUGUCGGAGAGGCAGGCGGAAUUCCUAGUGUAGCGGUGAAAUGCGUAGAUAUUAGGAGGAACACCAGUGGCGAAGGCGGCUUACUGGACUGUAACUGACGUUGAGGCUCGAAAGCGUGGGGAGCAAACAGGAUUAGAUACCCCAGUA